AAGUCGUAACAAGGUUUCCGUAGGUGAACCUGCGGAAGGAUCAGAAACACGUAUCCAAACGUUAAACCCCCCUGUGAACCUUCAGUGUACUCGUACGUCCGUUAGAAAAAGCAGCAAUCCCUGGUAAAUCAUCGCCGAACAGUUUUCGAUUCAGGGACGUCUGCAAGGAGCGUGCAUGUUGUGCGAAGCAAGUGGCCUGGCAUCCCCAAGCAGUUAGUGUCUGAAAGUGUCAUUAACUGUGUAAGGAUGACGCAGUCACGAUCGUUGGAGGCCCACACGGCCGACGACCGGGUCACUGGGCGCAAGCCCCCCUAUAACAAACGCUGCUAAUCGCGGCCGCGAUAAUACGCAGUCGACCAAAAACCGAACAACUGUUAACAAUGGAUAUCUUGGUUCUC
This 398-nucleotide unclassified non-coding RNA is filed under the name fungal sp. RNAcentral's name for it is "partial internal transcribed spacer region". The stretch from base 1 to 46 matches the Rfam family "Eukaryotic small subunit ribosomal RNA", at positions 1786 to 1831 of the family's 1831-position model. Lineage: Eukaryota; Fungi. The record is from RNAcentral.